GCUGAGAGCCACCUCGUUUGCGUUGGAAAAAGUCCGCGUGAUUUCAAAUGUUUGUGAGCAAUUCCUUCAUGGUAUAGGUGGUGUUGUAACUUCAUACUGAAGCUCUUACCUCUAGCUAUUGUUUUUGCAAUCUGUGCAACAUUGUACUGCAUGUACGUGAAAGCGUUUCAGGCCGGUCGCCGGCGGUUUAAUCUGUUUAAUCUGUCGGUUGUGGAAAGUCGAAGUUCGCGGUUGUCUUGGAUGCUAGUACCCAAUCUGAAGCUAUUCGCGGGUCCGUUUACAGGAUUUCAGACAUUUUUCAGGCAUUGUGAGCGCUGAUACGAAGAUAGCAAGAUUCAAUGCGGUGUGACUGUUACUAACCGCUCUCUGUGCAAACGGUUAAGUCCGUACGCAGCGACAGGCAAUGGAUGGAGUCGUCGCGAGCUGGUAAUGGAACUCGUUCUCGCCGACGUUGGAUCAAGAAAGGCAAACUGGACGGGAAAUCACGAGUCCCCAAGUCUACGAAAAGACAGAAGAACACCAUCGCCGAGGAGAUGACUGCUUGAUGUAAAAUGUUUAGUCGUCGUUAUUCGUUGGUGGGACAUUGCGGAUACGUGCUCCAUGAGUUUAAGCUGUGUUGAUUACUGCGUGUGUGUUGAUGAUCAACGGUACGCUUUCAAAGACAUGUAAGUGCAGAAUCAAGUUUGUGUUGUAAUGGGUCACUGUUUCGUGUUGUUUCUUGUAAGCGAUCCCCAUCUCGAUGACUCGCGCUUCUGAAAGCCAUGUAAAUAACAGUUGUGUGAUUUGAGGCUGUUUUGAUACUGCUACUAAUUUGAGGACAGCGCCAGAGGCGCAGUGCAAACGAAUGAAUUUGGACCUUGCUGUGCCAACGUCACAACGCAUUUAGGUAGCAAAUUGCAGACUGGUGUUUACAUCAGGGUCAUUUUACCCCAAUGGUCCAAAAGUCCUACGCCCCCAGUUCUUUAUAAAGAAAACAAAUGGUGCGUCUUCGCAAUUGCGGUUGACGGAAGAACGACAGCACCUCACAGCUCCACCCUAUAGUGGCUACUUUUAACGUAGAGGGAUUGCAAUACAGUGGCAGUACUAUUUCGAAUGCCCAAGACUAAUGUGUUCCUCCAUUUCCCCGGUCGCGCUGCGGGCAGUCUCGUCAGGUUGGUAGGUAUGCGAAAAGGACGUCCGGAUCAUUUGGCGAAUGAAUGACCCAUAAGGAUUGCCUGGUGUCGUUCUUUCAUAGAGUUAAUUUACAUUUGUCACCUGAGCAUAACAAUGUUCAUCUGACAAAUAUUGGACUGUGGUGUUAUGAGUGGUGUUACUAUCUAGUCCAUUCCUUUCAGUAUGUCACUUGGAAAGCAUUAUGCAUGCAGGCAUUCUACCAAAGGGUAGUACAUUCGACAGUAUUUUUGGGCGCUCAGUAUUUAUUAGAAUUUGUUCGUAAAUUAUUGCAACUUGAUAUUUUGCGUUUGAGGAGUUACAGAGUCAGCCUGAUCAGGGAACAUAAGUAACUGGAGUUUAACAUUUCAAUAUUAUUUCUAGAAGUUCAACAAUACGCGUUGUGAUAUUAUGGACAUUAUACUAUCUAGUCAUUGUCUAGCCGUUGAUAAGCGCUUGUGCCAUUAUUGGCUUGUCGCAAUGCUGCGCGAUCGUAAAGUGAGGAGUACAGGCUGGUCACUUUUGCAGUGUUUUAAUAGCUUUACUUAAAAUAAAGUUUUGUCAAAAUGUG
Molecule: long non-coding RNA, 1720 nt
Organism: Ornithodoros turicata
Lineage: Eukaryota; Metazoa; Arthropoda; Arachnida; Ixodida; Argasidae
Exons: 3
Source: RefSeq, a predicted model, not a curated record